Molecule: RNA transcript, 3777 nt
Organism: Labrus mixtus (cuckoo wrasse)
Lineage: Eukaryota; Metazoa; Chordata; Actinopteri; Labriformes; Labridae
Gene name: small integral membrane protein 44
Exons: 4
Source: RefSeq, a predicted model, not a curated record
AUCUUUGUAGAGCUUAAAGUGUAUUUUUCCUACAAUUUAAUGACAACUGGACUAUAUUGUUCGGUUUUUCUCAAGGAAACCGUUUAAUCAUCCAACCUGUUUAUUCAGCGUGUGCUUGUACACAACGCCCCCUGGUGGAGGAACAUGAUGUCAUGGUUUAGUUUAUUUCCUUCAUUGUUUCCUUAAAACAUAAUUUCAACUUUUUCUUUUUCUUUUAAAUGUUCUCUGUGCUAUGAAUUCUUGGUAGGCUACAUGCGAUGAGGCCUUAAUCACUGAAAUAAAUGAAUAAAGUCAAGUCACGUUGCACAUGUUGAAGUGCUGUCUGGGCUCCUGUGGCCCCUGGGGUUCGAUUAAGGAGCCAUCUGUCAUUAUUGGGUGUAAGAUUAAGAACUCCUGCGUCUGACGUCUCUGAUCUUGAUUAGAAUGUGGAUUAUAUAUGAAGAAGAACAUAAAGUUCAGAGCACAGAUUAUGUUUUUUUUUUUUCCUCUUAGCCAGGAUGCGUGUUAAAUAAAAUAUCACUGUGAUACAGUUUCUUACAGCUUAUACCAUCCAUACAAAGUCCAUGUUGUAAAGAAUGAAGAUGUGCAUUAUGCAACAACACAGAUGAACAUUUGUAAAGCAGGCCUCUAAUGCAACUUUAUCUUCUGCAACAAAGCGGCUGAAGAGGAUUAUGCUGCUGUUGCCACAGAAACUUGUUGAUCAGUGAGAGUAGAGAGGGGAGGGGGGGGUCCACACAUAUGGAACAGAGGGGACAGAGAGGUGAUCCAAACAGAUUUACAGCACAGACCACCCUGCACCUACAGCAGGGAAACACACUUUUUUUUUUAAGGUGACACAGAUUCCUUCCAGUUUGCCACCAUGCUGCACCCUUUAGUCAUCGGCAUUAUCACCGUCAACACCACCAUGACCGUCGUCUAUUGGAGCCUGCUGCUGAGCGAUGCCUACUUCAGGUUGCUGAUGGAGCCAGAGGACAAACCCAAGAAAGAGGUGACCCCUGUCUGAGGGAGGCAACAUGGAAUGACUGAAUUGAUACACUUUAUUAAUGCUUAGAACUAGUGUGCAAGAGCCGCUCAGCUUGUAGUGCUUUCUGUGGAGUCCUGUUCUGCUGUUGAUCUGCUUUCUGUUCCACCUGGAGAAGACUUUGAAACCUUAUAAAGACAAAUCUGAACUGAAAGGAUCCUGCUUGUGGAAGACAAAAGAGUCAUUCUUAAAGAGCCGUCUGUAUGCAACACGAGCCACUUUAGAAGACAUUUUAUUGACAAAUAUAAAGAAGAAAACUGAAGAUCCGUUUCAAGCUUUGAUUGCAGGACUGGAUCCUUGGCCCCAAACCAGUGGAGGAUGAGUCAGAAGAAGGCAGAGCAGAAAUAGAAGAAGAGCAGAGACUGAGUGUUUCCAGUAAGCUGAUGCAGAAAGACAGGCUAGAGAUGGAGAUCGAGAAGGAUGGCCAGCUCCCUGGGAUACAUUUUGGAGACUCCUUCCACUGUCUACCCAUCCCUCCUCCGCUGAGUAACGCCAUCUCUCCAUCCUACCCUGAAGAAAAAAAUGUAACUGCUCAUAGGAUGUCUUUCUCCAGCCCUUUGACCCCUUAUGUCAUGUCCCUCUGAGUUAGAGCAACAAUACCUUACAGCUCAAAUAAGUUGUUGGCACAAAUCUCAGUGAUCAUUGUUGUCUUUUUGCUAUAGAGAUGCAUAAGCUUAGGCAUUUUGGAUUUAUAUAGAACACAAGUUGUUCUGUACUGUAGCGUGUCACAUUGUAGUUUGUACUAAAACAAAUGCUUACUCUGAUUGUUUAUUAAAAAUGUAAUCAAGCAUGGUCUUUAGAGUCAAUUAUUCAAAUAACAUUGCAAUCUGCAAAGUGUCAAAUGUAGCAAAAAAGACAUUGAUGUGAGAUACAAACAAGAAUAGUGUAUUUUAGUCACAGACUACAAAAUCAAAAUGUGUCAACCUUGACACUUUUUAAUGAAAGUGUGUUCAGUUCCUCCAUAAAAAGACAGAAAUGUAUUUUUAAGGAUAACACAUGAACUGCCAUUUUCAGUACAUUUUCCAGACCAGUCAAAGUCUCAUGGUGUUGUUUAUUGAAUCUGUAUUUCCCAUUAGUCUGUCACACAUGUUGUUAAUGUCUCACUCAUUGUCUCACUGAAGAAGAAUUAAAAAAAAUCAUGUCAUAUUCCCUGAUUUGAUGAUAGACUAAAAAUGAUUUCAAGUAAACAACGGACUGUUGUGUCUUGUCUGUGUUCAUUAAUCCCUCUUACCUUUCUCUAAUCGCUGGCUGUGUCAGGAGAGAGUGACCUUAUUUAUACUUGAGCCGUGUUAUUAAAUACGUGUGGCUCACAACAGAUAGAGAAACAGAAGCUGUACCACCUGUAGUGCAAAUAUAUCACAUCUAUAAUACAAUACACAAGAACUGCAAGUAUCUGUGUGAACUUUAUCAAAAACAUUCUUGAACACCAAGCUAGGAAACAUGAUAGCUAACAGGUAGCUACAGCUCGACGAAUACUGCCAAGGAAGACACUGAUUGCUAGCUUAUGAGCACACAGACAGACAGACAGACAGAUUCUCUCUCUCAUUAGGAAAUUGUGCUCACAGCAUCUUUGCUCUGACCUUGAGUACUUCAAGCUGCUGCAGCUAAUCUAGUUUCCAUCUGCGCAGGCAGUCUGGGAGUUAGUUCAGGGAGACAAAAUAGAAAAUGUGUCAUUAUGAGAGGUAGAGAUGUACUUUGUAUUGAAGUCUUCCUUACUUUGUGUGUAGAGUUUAACCCGGAGGGUAAAGACAACAGUGAAUUUGAGUAUGUAACCUGCUGCUUUGCUGUUUUGUAGAAAUGUUCACUCAAUUCUUGGUUGCUAAGCUUUAGUUGAACAUUGGUCCCUUGUGUUUUUUAAUCAAGUGCAUGAAAAGAAAGAUGGACCGUUAUGUGCUGCCCUCUAUGAAUACAGCAAUGACACUGAGGUAUUAAGUGGAUUCCCUGUAUGACAGCAGUUUCAGACUCUCAGUCAGUAAUGGAUGUACCAGUGGAUAGUUUGAACGUGCGUUACAGGGAAGAAGAUGGGACAGUGCUCUUUGAGAGCUACAUACCCCCCUCAAGGGAUGCUGUCCAUCUGCCUAAAUAUGUCCUCUAUCUGCUCAUGGCUGUCUUUAUUGUGCUGGGUGUCCUUUAUGCCAUCAUUGGCCACCUCAUCAAGGACCUCAUCCAUGACUUUUCAGACUGGCUGUUAGGGGAGCAGCCAGAGGAAGUGGUGGUGAACUACUGUGAGGCCAAAGAUAAGUUCAUAGCAGACUGGUGCCCAGAAACUUCACCUGAGCUAGAAGCGAUGGCCCGGGCUGAAGAGAACAAGAUCAUCAACAGGGACUUUACUAGAGCUCCUGCCAUCUGGGUAAUCUCUACAGAACCUCGAGGCAGCAAGUCUGGACCCCGAGUGGUCUUUGGGAUGAGGACUUAGAUGUGUGGACUGAAGAGGAAGACGUUUAGUUCAGAUAAAGACUUUUUUUCACAAAGAUUUUUAGAUUCUGUUAUAAUAGUAUGCGCAUGUAGAAAUGAAUUAAAUGGCUGUAUGCUACUAAGCAGGAGUAUUUCAUGUAGGCUUGUCCUAGCUCUUGCUGACAUUGCUGCACAGCGGUUUUACGAGGACAUCUAGCGUCCAUUGGGGAAAUUGCAGCUGAUUUUAAGCGAUAUCAUUUUUACGUGGACCACAUUACAAAAAGAAGUGUCAGCACAAGCUUGUAGGUGAGCGACUUCCAAACAAACAAAAUGUGGCAAAAAUAUGCCUGGUGUUGUAGCUU